Molecule: small nucleolar RNA, 194 nt
Filed under: Naja naja (Indian cobra)
Lineage: Eukaryota; Metazoa; Chordata; Lepidosauria; Squamata; Elapidae
Description: Small nucleolar RNA U3 (ENSNNAG00000015474.1)
Rfam family: Small nucleolar RNA U3
About the family: Small nucleolar RNAs (snoRNAs) are involved in the processing and modification of rRNA in the nucleolus. There are two main classes of snoRNAs: the box C/D class, and the box H/ACA class. U3 snoRNA is a member of the box C/D class.
Source: Rfam by way of RNAcentral
AAGUCUAUACUUUUAGAGAUCAUUUCUAUAGUAUCCAAGUCGAGAAAUUCACUCCAACACUGUAGGCUUUCAAGAAGAGAUUGGACUGCCAUCUGUCAGAGAUGGUGUAGAGUCUCCUGCUUGGGCAGGGGGUUUCUACUAGAUGACCUACAAGGUCCCUUCCAACUCUGUUAAAUCUAAAGGUGAUCAGCUGA